GACGAACGCUGGCGGCGUGCUUAACACAUGCAAGUCAAGGGGGCCCAGUAGCAAUACUGGGCAACCGGCGAACGGGUGCGUAACACGUGAGCAACCUACCGAAAUGUGGGGGAUAGCCGGCCUAACGGCCGAGUAAUACCGCAUACGCUCUCGAUGAGGCAUUUCAUUGAGAGGAAACCUACGGGACAUUUCGAGGGGCUCGCGGCCUAUCAGCUAGUUGGCGAGGUAACGGCUCACCAAGGCAACGACGGGUAGCUGGUCUGAGAGGAUGGCCAGCCACAUUGGGACUGAGAUACGGCCCAGACUCCUACGGGAGGCAGCAGUGGGGAACAUUGGACAAUGGGCGAAAGCCUGACGCAGCGACGCCGCGUGAGGGAUGACGGCCU
Molecule: ribosomal RNA, 386 nt
Filed under: uncultured bacterium
Lineage: Bacteria
Description: bacterial SSU rRNA
Rfam family: Bacterial small subunit ribosomal RNA
Source: RNAcentral